UUGGAGGGCAAGUCUGGUGCCAGCAGCCGCGGUAAUUCCAGCUCCAAUAGCGUAUAUUAAAGUUGUUGCAGUUAAAAAGCUCGUAGUUGAAUUUCGGGAUCAAUUUGCUGGUCGUGCCUUCGGUACGUACUGGUAUUAUUGGUUUCUCCUUUCUGAUGAAUCGCGAUGUCAUUAAUUUGGUGUCGUGGGGAAUCAGGACUGUUACUUUGAAAAAAUUAGAGUGUUUAAAGCAGGCUCACGCUUGAAUACAUUAGCAUGGAAUAAUGAAAUAGGACGUUUGAUUCUAUUUUGUUGGUUUCUAGGAUCGACGUAAUGAUUAAUAGGGAUAGUUGGGGGCAUUAGUAUUCAAUUGUCAGAGGUGAAAUUCUUGGAUUUAUUGAAGACUAACUACUGCGAAAGCAUUUGCCAAGGAUGUUUUCAUUAAUCAAGAACGAAAGUUAGGGGAUCGAAGACGAUCAGAUACCGUCGUAGUCUUAACCAUAAACUAUGCCGACUAGGGAUCGGAUGAUGUUAAUUUUUUAAUGACUCAUUCGGCGCCUUACGGGAAAC
Molecule: ribosomal RNA, 549 nt
Filed under: uncultured Glomus
Lineage: Eukaryota; Fungi; Glomeromycota; Glomeromycetes; Glomerales; Glomeraceae
Description: SSU rRNA
Rfam family: Eukaryotic small subunit ribosomal RNA
Source: RNAcentral